Molecule: transfer RNA, 83 nt
Filed under: Microbacterium sp. T2.11-28
Lineage: Bacteria; Bacillati; Actinomycetota; Actinomycetes; Micrococcales; Microbacteriaceae
Description: tRNA-Asp(gtc)
Source: RNAcentral
GUGUGGUGGAUCGGCUCGCUCACCGUCGCGGUCACCGACGGGCUCCGCGGAGACGUGGCGGCGUUCGACUCCGCGAUCGCGCC